This 308-nucleotide ribosomal RNA is filed under the name uncultured bacterium. RNAcentral describes it as "partial 16S ribosomal RNA". It matches the Rfam family "Bacterial small subunit ribosomal RNA", at positions 356 to 681 of the family's 1533-position model. The record is from RNAcentral.
GGGGAAUAUUGGACAAUGGGGGCAACCCUGAUCCAGCAAUGCCGCGUGUGUGAAGAAGGUCUUCGGAUUGUAAAGCACUUUCGACGGGGACGAUGAUGACGGUACCCGUAGAAGAAGCCCCGGCUAACUUCGUGCCAGCAGCCGCGGUAAUACGAAGGGGGCUAGCGUUGCUCGGAAUGACUGGGCGUAAAGGGCGUGUAGGCGGUUUACACAGUCAGAUGUGAAAUCCCCGGGCUUAACCUGGGAGCUGCAUUUGAUACGUGUAGACUAGAGUGUGAGAGAGGGUUGUGGAAUUCCCAGUGUAGAGG